RNAcentral lists this ribosomal RNA (137 nucleotides) under uncultured bacterium. Its description in RNAcentral is "partial 16S ribosomal RNA". It matches the Rfam family "Bacterial small subunit ribosomal RNA", at positions 355 to 509 of the family's 1533-position model. The record is from RNAcentral.
UGGGGAAUAUUGCACAAUGGGGGAAACCCUGAUGCAGCGACGCCGCGUGAAGGAAGAAGUAUCUCGGUAUGUAAACUUCUAUCAGCAGGGAAGAUAGUGACGGUACCUGACUAAGAAGCUCCGGCUAAAUACGUGCC